RNAcentral lists this long non-coding RNA (1308 nucleotides) under Mytilus galloprovincialis (Mediterranean mussel). The record is from RNAcentral. Lineage: Eukaryota; Metazoa; Mollusca; Bivalvia; Mytilida; Mytilidae.
AUCAGAGUUAUCGAACUUUUUCAUCAACCCAUGUGAUGACAAACUAUCUCGGACAAUUUAUCUUGGAAUUUCCAUAAGCUUUGGCUGACCACAAUGUAAGAACCUUUUUAUUUACUAUAAUAUGAGUUUAUAAUACUGUUCAAGUAAUUUUUGAUACAAGUUUAAUGAUUAUUUUCUCGCAUUUUGCAAUGUUUAUGUCGUUGUAUGGUAUGUCGGUUUGACAAUCAAAAUACAUUGUUUUGUAAACAAUACUUACCUGGUAUGAUACUUACGUGGUUAAUACUUACCUUUUUCCCUUUUUGUAAUUCCCUAGACCUGAGAUUCCCAUUUUUUCGGGUUUUCAGUUGUUUAUUCUAUACCCCCUUUUUUCGUGUGAAAAAAUGUAUGGAACGCAUUUCGUGUCAUAUUUGUAAUUUAUUAUUUUUUGGUAAUUUCAUAUAACAACUCGAUACUGUUGUCAGGUCAUUAAAGAUUGCAUAUUUUGGAUUUAACAUUGAUUCACUGAUAGGGUCUUUGCAUCGGAACUAAACACAUUUAUUUCUAAAAAAAAAAAAAAAAAAAAAAAAAAAAAAAAACAGUUGUUGGCAUGACACGGGUUAUGUUCUUCCAUAUAUUUUAUGAUAGUAUGAUACUAAACCCCUAACGGGAGGGAUUGUACCUGAUAUUCAUAUGAUGAAGACAUAAUCUUUCAAUCAGUUUAAUUGAGGUCUGGAGCUGGCAUGUCAGUUAACUGCUAGUAGUCUGUUGUUAUUUAUGUAUUAUUGUCAUUUUAUUUAUUUUCUUUUGUUACAUCUUUUGACAUCAGACUCGGACUUCUCUUGAACUGAAUUUUAAUGUGCGUAUUGUUAUUCUUUUACUUUUCUACAUUGGCUAGAGUAUAGGGGGGAUGAGAUCUCAUAAACAUGUUUAACCCCGCCGCAAUUUUGCGCCUGUCCCAAGUCAGGAGCCUCUGCCUUUGUUAGUCUUGUAUGAUUUUAAAUUUAGUUUCUUGUGUAUAAUUCGGAGUUUAUUGACGUUUAUACUGUACUAUUAUGCAUAUUUAAUUACGGGUCAUUCUCGCUACAUGAAACAACUCGAUCGAUAUGGCUGUUAUGAUCAUGUUUUUGUAUUAUAUUUUGUAUUAACAUUUUUUAUAAGUAGUUUUUACUUUCUUUGUAGCUCUUCACCACUCUAUCUUGUUCAGUCUACAUUGAUGAAUAAAAUGGUUUAAACUGUCUGCAUUAGUUACAUUACUUAGUGGCAGAACAGUGAAGAGAUUCAAUACAGCAAUGAGUAACAUGGAUCCAUUAGAACAGAAGAAUGAUCAGA